Haemonchus placei is the source of this 76-nucleotide non-coding RNA. The record is from Rfam. Lineage: Eukaryota; Metazoa; Nematoda; Chromadorea; Rhabditida; Trichostrongylidae.
GGACACAAACUUGAAGUAGAAUAGUUUGGUGGGGUUAGCCGAUCCUACUGAUCUACUCUACUUCAGAUUCGGUCCC